Non-coding RNA from Arachis ipaensis, 978 nucleotides. The record is from RefSeq and is a predicted model, not a curated record. NCBI's taxonomy places the organism in Eukaryota, Viridiplantae, Streptophyta, Magnoliopsida, Fabales, Fabaceae.
UACUGAUUUUGAAAUUGAACUUCGAAUCAGAAAAUAAGCAUACAAUUGUUGUUGCAGAACUUUGCUUCUUGUUGUUGUAUACAAUCUGAGGAAGGACUUGGUGCAUCAUGGAGAAUAUGAGUGCUUGCUGAACACCGUGGAAGCAUGUGUCAUUGAUGCAUGGCCUCAGUUGAAAACAAGGUUCAAUAAUAAGGAGAAUGUGAAUGGAUCAAAUGCAAGGAAGGAGAACCCUUUGAUUAUAUGGAACAAUGGUCCUAAUUUUGUUGGAUAUGAAGCCCCAAACCUUGAUGAUCGGGAAUAAGUCACUGUGAUUAUUAAGAAUGAUGAAGCUGCUGUUGAUGAGGGGCCUGAAGAGAUAGAUAACUACUAUGGUCAAGAUAAGGAUCUAAUUUCAUUAUGGACUCAACCAUUAGAAUGUGCAUUAGGACAGCUUCUGUGGCAGUUACAACUUGGUGAGCAUUUCUAUUUUCAAAGCUAAAAAGAAUGGCAACAAUGUUGAACACAUCAUUGUGUAUUUAUCAAAGCAGGUUCUGAUCAUUUUCUUAUUAUGGAGUACAAUGCUUCCUAUGUGUGCCACUCUUUGUUUGCAUACUUUGACAGAGAUGACAUUGCUCUCAAGGGAUUUGCAAAUUGCAGGUUCUUUAAGGAAUCAAGUGAAGAAAAAAGAGAGCAUGCUGAGAAGCUUAUGAAGUAUCAGGUUGGUGUUGGAACUCUUGGCUUUAAGGAUGAUUAUGUUAUGUUAUGUGUGUUAUGUUUUAAAUACCUUAGUGGUCAAAAUUUUAUUGAAAGAUCUUUAGGAAAAGGGAGAGAAAUGAUUAUUAUCUAACAAAAAGUAAUUGACGUUGUAUAGCCAUAUAUCCAAAUCAUUUUCCUAAUGCUCAAUUAAUUAAUUAAGAUCACAUACUUAGUGCCUUGAAUGAAUUGUUUGAGUUUGCUAGUGUUGUUGGUUACUACUUGGCUCUUAUGAUAUAUGUAUAA